RNAcentral lists this transfer RNA (69 nucleotides) under Ptychorhynchus pfisteri. RNAcentral describes it as "tRNA-Cys". Lineage: Eukaryota; Metazoa; Mollusca; Bivalvia; Unionida; Unionidae. The record is from RNAcentral.
UGUCUUGUAGUAUAUACAAACAUAUUACUGUAAACUGCAACUUUACCAAAGCAAUAGCCAAGACAUCCA